RNAcentral lists this small nuclear RNA (63 nucleotides) under Carlito syrichta (Philippine tarsier). RNAcentral describes it as "U7 small nuclear RNA (ENSTSYG00000026648.1)". It matches the Rfam family "U7 small nuclear RNA". Rfam says of the family: Animal histone pre-mRNAs are spliced by a different mechanism than nuclear pre-mRNAs and self-splicing introns. Lineage: Eukaryota; Metazoa; Chordata; Mammalia; Primates; Tarsiidae. The record is from Rfam by way of RNAcentral.
AACUGUUACAGCACUUUUAGAAUUUGUCUUGCAGGUUUUUCAGUUUUUACCAGAAAAAUCUGG